GCCUGGCACAGCAGAUCCUCGGGAAAAAUCUCCAGUAUGGGCAAAUGGCGCCCCGAUGUGGUAUCGUGGCAGGUGUUGGCACGCGCACGCUGUUAAAAGAGGCACUUUAACUGUGGCAACCCUCGUGCAUUGCUUUGUAUUUAAUACAUUCACAUGCAUUUACUACUGAACCUCAACAUGCAGGAAACACGGAACGAAAGAAGCACAGAAAUCAACACAUGCCACACACACACACACACCAAUAUACCAACACAAGCACGCACCACCACAUGCCGUGUGUAAAUAAUUAAUUACCGCAUACAGAAAAUUGUUCAUAGAUUAACAAAUUAAGGACUGCAAUCUUUUCUAAGGACCUCCGCGAGCCUAUUAGGACACUUUUUUCCAGGAUAGGAGUUAAAUUCAUCCAGAUAUAGCAAUUUUAAGUUAAAAUAAUAGAAAAUAUAUAGUAAAAUUACAU
This 457-nucleotide small RNA is filed under the name Drosophila virilis. Its description in RNAcentral is "GJ25874". The record is from RNAcentral. Lineage: Eukaryota; Metazoa; Arthropoda; Insecta; Diptera; Drosophilidae.